This 675-nucleotide ribosomal RNA is filed under the name Chryseobacterium joostei. RNAcentral describes it as "bacterial SSU rRNA". It matches the Rfam family "Bacterial small subunit ribosomal RNA", at positions 40 to 712 of the family's 1533-position model. Lineage: Bacteria; Pseudomonadati; Bacteroidota; Flavobacteriia; Flavobacteriales; Weeksellaceae. The record is from RNAcentral.
CGGGAGGCCUAACACAUGCAAGCCGAGCGGUAGAGAUCGUUUCGGGAUCUUGAGAGCGGCGUACGGGUGCGGAACACGUGUGCAACCUGCCUUUAUCAGGGGGAUAGCCUUUCGAAAGGAAGAUUAAUACCCCAUAAUAUAAGAGACGGCAUCGUUUUUUAUUGAAAACUCCGGUGGAUAGAGAUGGGCACGCGCAAGAUUAGAUAGUUGGUGAGGUAACGGCUCACCAAGUCAACGAUCUUUAGGGGGCCUGAGAGGGUGAUCCCCCACACUGGUACUGAGACACGGACCAGACUCCUACGGGAGGCAGCAGUGAGGAAUAUUGGACAAUGGGUGCGAGCCUGAUCCAGCCAUCCCGCGUGAAGGACGACGGCCCUAUGGGUUGUAAACUUCUUUUGUAUAGGGAUAAACCUACCCUCGUGAGGGUAGCUGAAGGUACUAUACGAAUAAGCACCGGCUAACUCCGUGCCAGCAGCCGCGGUAAUACGGAGGGUGCAAGCGUUAUCCGGAUUUAUUGGGUUUAAAGGGUCCGUAGGCUGAUUUGUAACUCAAUGGUGAAAUCUCACAACUUAAGUGUGAAACUGCCCUUGAUACUGCAGGUCUUGAUUGUUGUUGAAGUAGCUGGAAGAAAUAGCGUAGCGGUGGUUAUGCAUCGUAUAUUACUUAGAACAACAA